Non-coding RNA from Potamilus streckersoni, 73 nucleotides. The record is from the annotation of a GenBank genome assembly. Lineage: Eukaryota; Metazoa; Mollusca; Bivalvia; Unionida; Unionidae.
GCUCCGGUGGACUAGUGGUUAGAGCGUCCGCCUCGAAUGCGAAAGGUAACCGGUUCGAACCCCGGCCGAGUCA